AGCAGUGUGGUGUAGUGGUUUGAGCACUGGACUAAGGCUCAAGAAAGCAGGGUUUAAGUCCCUGCUUGGCCA
Non-coding RNA from Phrynosoma platyrhinos (Desert horned lizard), 72 nucleotides. The record is from the annotation of a GenBank genome assembly. NCBI's taxonomy places the organism in Eukaryota, Metazoa, Chordata, Lepidosauria, Squamata, Phrynosomatidae.